RNAcentral lists this ribosomal RNA (112 nucleotides) under uncultured bacterium. Its description in RNAcentral is "partial 16S ribosomal RNA". It matches the Rfam family "Bacterial small subunit ribosomal RNA", at positions 222 to 334 of the family's 1533-position model. The record is from RNAcentral.
UGGAUGAGUCCGCGGCCCAUUAGCUAGUUGGUAGGGUAAUGGCCUACCAAGGCACGAUGGGUAGCUGGUCUGAGAGGAUGAUCAGCCACACUGGAACUGAGACACGGUCCAG